Molecule: transfer RNA, 73 nt
Filed under: Dipodomys ordii (Ord's kangaroo rat)
Lineage: Eukaryota; Metazoa; Chordata; Mammalia; Rodentia; Heteromyidae
Rfam family: tRNA
About the family: Transfer RNA (tRNA) molecules are approximately 80 nucleotides in length. Their secondary structure includes four short double-helical elements and three loops (D, anti-codon, and T loops).
Source: Rfam by way of RNAcentral
GGAGAUGUGGCUCAGGCGGUAGAGCACCUGCCUCCCAAGCAGAGGGUCCUGAGUUUGAACCUCAGUACCACCA